UAGGGAAUCUUCCACAAUGGACGCAAGUCUGAUGGAGCAACGCCGCGUGAGUGAAGAAGGUUUUCGGACCGUAAAGCUCUGUUGUUGGUGAAGAAGGAUAGAGGUAGUAACUGGCCUUUAUUUGACGGUAAUCAACCAGAAAGUCACGGCUAACUACGUGCCAGCAGCCGCGGUAAUACGUAGGUGGCAAGCGUUGUCCGGAUUUAUUGGGCGUAAAGCGAGCGCAGGCGGAAGAAUAAGUCUGAUGUGAAAGCCCUCGGCUUAACCGAGGAAUUGCAUCGGAAACUGUUUUCUUGAGUGCAGAAGAGGAGAGUAGAACUCCAUGUGUAGCGGUGGAAUGCGUAGAUAUAUGGAAGAAUACCAGUGGCGAAGGCGGCUCUCUGGUCUGCAAACUGACGCUGAGGCUCGAAAGCAUGGGUAGCGAACAGGAUU
Molecule: ribosomal RNA, 432 nt
Filed under: uncultured bacterium
Lineage: Bacteria
Description: partial 16S ribosomal RNA
Rfam family: Bacterial small subunit ribosomal RNA
Source: RNAcentral